RNAcentral lists this transfer RNA (48 nucleotides) under Nerodia sipedon. RNAcentral describes it as "partial tRNA-Ser". The record is from RNAcentral. Lineage: Eukaryota; Metazoa; Chordata; Lepidosauria; Squamata; Natricidae.
CACCAGAGGGCGCAAUAAGACCUGCUAACUCUUAAACCCGGAAAUAAC